Non-coding RNA from Ictidomys tridecemlineatus (thirteen-lined ground squirrel), 72 nucleotides. NCBI's taxonomy places the organism in Eukaryota, Metazoa, Chordata, Mammalia, Rodentia, Sciuridae. The record is from Rfam.
UGGGUUGUGACUCAGUGGUAGAGUGCUCGCCUAGCAUGUGCGAGGCCCUGGGUUCGAUCCUCAGCACCACAU